Molecule: RNA transcript, 3027 nt
Organism: Strigops habroptila (Kakapo)
Lineage: Eukaryota; Metazoa; Chordata; Aves; Psittaciformes; Psittacidae
Gene: XYLB
Gene name: xylulokinase
Exons: 20
Source: RefSeq, a predicted model, not a curated record
AUUAUUUUUUUAAUGGGAUACUGUGUUUGUGCAAGCCAGAGUGCGAUACCGCAACAGGACUGGUAGAUAGUAAUGGAAUAUUAACAUUUCCGUAAUUCCUUUGGAAUGUAGUUUGAAGCUGCCCGUGUUGUUUUCCUUCCAUUCGCCUUGCAGCUGCUUUGGCGUUUUCUCACUGACUCGGGCAUGGGCAGGCUGGGGGAUCCCCAUGUAUUAGCUCCCAAUUACCGGUGGUCAGCAGCUGCCGUGUGCAGCCCUGGCACCAAGCAACCCGCCGCCACAUCACAUCCCCUCCCCUGCCCAGAGCUCUUCCUUGCUCCACCGCUCUGCACAGCCCCUCCGUGCCCGGCAUGAGGGGUUGCUCCCGCUCCUCCGCCUCCCCGUGCGCGGAACACUAAUUAACUCCCGACCUCCCGCUCCGCACGCCCGGGCUGGCGGCGCCUUCCCGGGGGGGCCGGGCCUGCAAAGCCGCUGCGGGGCAAGGGUGAGAUCCGAACGGGCCCCGCCGCGCAAUGGCCGCUCCCUGCUACUUAGGCUGGGAUUUCAGCACGCAGCAGCUGAAAGUCAUUGCUAUUGAUGAGCAGCUGAGAGUAAUUUAUGAGGAUAAUGUUCAUUUUGAUAAAGACCUUCCGGAAUUCAAGACUCAAGGUGGAGUCUAUAUUCACAGUGACAGACUGACAGUCACUUCUCCUGUACUAAUGUGGGUCAAGGCUCUGGAUAUGAUUUUGGAAAAGAUGAGGUCUUCAGGCUUUAACUUCUCUCAAGUCAGAGCUUUGUCUGGUGCUGGCCAGCAACAUGGGAGUGUGUACUGGAAAAAAGGAAGCAUGCAAAUUUUAAAGGAUGCAUCAUCUGAACUGCCUUUACAUCAGUCACUAAAGGCUUGUUUUUCUGUCAGUAACAGCCCCAUAUGGAUGGAUUCUAGCACGGCUUCCCAGUGCAGCGCUUUGGAGAAAGCCGUGGGGGGAGCACAGCACCUAGCGAGUAUCACUGGUUCUCGAGCCUAUGAGCGUUUUACAGGAAACCAGAUAGCAAAGAUUUACAGCCAGAAUCCUGAGGUCUACAUGCAAACUGAGAGAAUCUCUUUGGUUAGUAGUUUUGCAGCUUCCCUUUUCCUAGGAACUUAUGCACCCAUUGAUUACAGUGACGGUUCUGGUAUGAACUUGUUGCAGAUUUGGGAAAAGGUAUGGUCAGUAUCUUGCCUUGAUGCUUGUGCACCUGGAUUAAAGGAGAAACUUGGAUGCCCUGUACCAUCCCAUUCAGUGCUGGGGCCCAUUUCUCCAUAUUAUAGUCAGCGUUAUGGGUUUAGCCCAGAUUGUAAAGUAGUAGCAUUUACAGGAGACAAUCCAGCAUCAUUGGCAGGGAUGAGACUUCAAGAAGGAGAUAUUGCAAUUAGCCUUGGCACAAGUGACACAUUGUUUCUGUGGAUCCAAGAACCAACUCCUGCCUUAGAAGGUCAUAUCCUCUGCAAUCCUGUUGAUUCUCAAACAUACAUGGCACUUUUAUGUUUUAAGAACGGCUCUCUGAUGAGAGAGAGGGUCAGAGAUGACUGUGCUUCAGGCUCAUGGGAUGAAUUCUCCAAAGCCUUAUCAUCUACUGUUGCUGGAAACAAUGGAAACUUGGGUUUCUACUUUGAUGUGAUGGAAAUUACUCCUGAAGCAGUUGGGAUUCACAGAUUCAACAAAGACAACCAACAGGUUUCAGUCUUUCCAAAGGAGGUGGAAAUACGAGCGUUGAUUGAAGGGCAGUUCAUGGCCAAGAGGAUUCAUGCUGAAAAGCUGGGAUAUAAAGUCACCUUUAAAGAAUUUCAGUGAGAUCAUUUGGACUGCUUGCAUUCAUAAUGCCUUGCUGAAGUGCUGUUAUGGAUAAAUGUAUGGCUUAUCACGUUCUGUGCUCCAGAGGAGCAUGCACACAAAUAAAUGAUGAGGCACAGGACAAGACAUUCAGGAAUGUGAGAAGGAAAGUGCCCAGAACAAGGAUUUUGGCUACUGGUGGUGCAUCACACAAUAAAAAGAUCUUACAGGUCCUGUCUGAUGUAUUCAACGCACCAGUGUACACUAUCGAUACCACCAACUCUGCUUGUUUAGGAAGUGCUUACAGAGCAAUUCACGGGCUGGUAGCUGAGACGAAUGUGUCCUUGGCUGAUGUCGUGAAAUUAGCACCGGAGCCUAGAUUGGCUGUUACACCAGCUGCUGGGGCUGAGGAGCUCUAUCAUCCACUUCUGAAAAGAUACGCUGAACUUGAACAGAAGGUUAUCUACAACGCAACCUCUUCUUGUCUUGCAAAAUAGAAGCAAACAAAAUUUAUAAGCUGGCUGGAGUGGACUCCCAAGGAGAAGAUCAGAAAAGAUUUGCUCAGAAUUUACUGGAGUUUAAAUCAUUUUGUUCCUCUUUGUAGACAAAUAAUUUUAAAAUGUCUGUGUUUGUGUUGGUGGAAAAAAUUACAUUGUGAUUGAAAACCUGAUUAAAAAAGCAUCAUGUUACUCUCUGAGUUUGCGACUUCAAUUUUUUUUAGGUACUUUUCACAUCAUUUUGCUGUUUCAGAAUAGCUGGAUGACAAAGUCGAGUUCCUUGUAUAUAUGAAUCGCUCUACCCACCUCUGUCAGCUUUGAUUCCAUGUGUUUAGCAUGCCAGCCUCUGCAUGAGGUUCUAGCACAGUAUCUUAAUUCCACAACUUCUCCCACUUAAAUCUUUUGAGACUAUCUUUUUGUACAUAUGUAACUCAUCGCUGUUUGUAUCUUUGCCUCCAUUAAACCAACAGAAAACAUUAAGUAUGCUUAAUCCCAUCUUUCUUUAACAUGUGGGAUAUUUGUGGUGUGAAGGCUGAUUAAAGUCUUUAAAGACUCCCUGGGAUCCUCAGAGAAGGUGAAUUCUUGUUACAUGACACUAUGGAAAGUCUGUUGUGUGAUAAAACAUGACGUGGUUGGAUUUUAUAAAUUGUGGAUAGCACAGAGGCCUUAUGAUACAGAUGCCAUUACACAGUGUUUUACUUGACAUCAGUUUUGUAAAAAAAGAAAAUAAAGGAUCAAAAGUG